GGUACGUUAUCGGCAUACUGGGCGUAAGCGCGCGCAGGCGGUUAUGUAAGACAGAUGUGAAAUCCCCGGGCUCAACCUGGGAACUGCAUUUGUAACUGGGUGGCUAGAGUACGGUAGAGGGGGAUGGAAUUCCGCGUGUAGCGGUGAAAUGCGUAGAUAUGUGGAGGAACACCGAUGGCGAAGGCAAUCCCCUGGACCUGUACUGACGCUCAUGCGCGAAAGCGUGGGGAGCAAACAGGAUUAGAUACCCUGGUAGUCCACGCCCUAAACGAUGUCAACUGGUUGUUGGGAAUUUUUUUUCUUAGUUUCCAAACUUAAGCCUGUAGUUCACCCCCCGGGGAGAACCGGCCCCAGGGUUAAAAUCCAAAGGAUUUGCGGGGAGCCCCACAAACGGGGGAUGAUGUGGGUUUAUUUCAUUGCACCCGAAAAAACUUUCCCACCUUUUACAUGGCAGGAAACUUCCCGAAAUGGAUUCGUGGUCUUCAGAAACCUGCCACAGGUGCUGCAUGGCUGUCGUCAGCUCGUGUCGUGAGAUGUUGGGUUAGUCCCGCACGAGCGCAACCCUUGUCAUUGUUGCUACAUUUAGUUGGGGAUCUUAUGAGACUGGCGGUGAGAAAACUGAAGAAAGUGGGGAUGAACUCCAGUCCUCAUGGGCCUCUUAGGUGGGGGUUCACACCUCGUUCAAUGGGUGGUACAAAAGAGUGCCAACCUCCGAGGGGGAGACUAUCCCAUAAAACUAUUCUAAUUCCGAUUCAGUCUGCACUCCACUGCCUGAAUCGGAUCGCUAGUAUCCGGAUCACAUGCGCGGGGAAACGUUCCCGGGCUUGUACCACCCCCGUCCACAUGGGACUGGCUCGCACAAUAGUAGCUAACCUACGAGGCGCUACCCGUUGGAUCUGAUG
RNAcentral lists this ribosomal RNA (902 nucleotides) under Delftia acidovorans. RNAcentral's name for it is "bacterial SSU rRNA". It matches the Rfam family "Bacterial small subunit ribosomal RNA", at positions 535 to 1533 of the family's 1533-position model. The record is from RNAcentral. Lineage: Bacteria; Pseudomonadati; Pseudomonadota; Betaproteobacteria; Burkholderiales; Comamonadaceae.